This 437-nucleotide ribosomal RNA is filed under the name Neospora caninum. RNAcentral's name for it is "LSU rRNA". It matches the Rfam family "Eukaryotic large subunit ribosomal RNA", at positions 446 to 864 of the family's 3401-position model. Lineage: Eukaryota; Apicomplexa; Conoidasida; Eucoccidiorida; Sarcocystidae. The record is from RNAcentral.
GUUUAGGCUUUGGUUUCUCGAUGUAUUUCCGGUUCAUCUUUUUGGASAGGUCAGCAUCAGCUACUCGGAAUUGAUUUCGUUCAAAGAAGGUAGGUCCCUCGUGGACCCUUAUAUCUUUGUUCUUUCCUUUUCCUUGUGGCUGAGGAGUGUUCUUGUWUCCGAGCUCCACUUUCGAGUACUCGGUUUCUGUGAUGCUGGCUUAAUCGGUUCCAACCGACCCGUCUUGAAACACGGACCAAGGAGUCUAACAUAUGUGCGAGUAUGCGGGUUUUACUCCUGUAUGCGCAAUGAAAGUGAGAGUAGGGAGAUUUUGGCUUUGCCAUUCUUCGCACCUACGACCGACCACGAUCUCUGAGAGAGGUUUGAGUUGGAGCAUAUCUGUUAGGACCCGAAAGAUGGUGAACUAUGCCUGAGUAGAAUGAAGUCAGGGGAAACCC